UCCUACGGGGGGCAGCAGUGAGGAAUAUUGGUCAAUGGGCGGAAGCCUGAACCAGCCAAGUCGCGUGAGGGAAGAAGGCCCUGCGGGUCGCAGACCUCUUUGGACGGGGAGCAAGGCCGCCGACGUGUCGGCGGAAGGAGAGUACCCGUAGAACAAGCACCGGCUAACUCCGUGCCAGCAGCCGCGGUAAUACGGAGGGUGCAAGCGUUACUCGGAAUCACUGGGCGUAAAGAGCGCGUAGGCGGGUGGUCAAGUCAGAUGUGAAAUCCUGUAGCUUAACUACAGAACUGCAUUUGAAACUGAUC
This 305-nucleotide ribosomal RNA is filed under the name uncultured bacterium. RNAcentral describes it as "bacterial SSU rRNA". It matches the Rfam family "Bacterial small subunit ribosomal RNA", at positions 337 to 638 of the family's 1533-position model. The record is from RNAcentral.